AACGCACCUUGCGCUCCUUGGUAUUCCGAGGAGCAUGCCUGUUUGAGUGUCAUUAAAUUCUCAACCUGACCAGCUUUUUGUGAGCUUUGGCUUAGGCUUGGAUGUGGGGGGUUGCGGGCUUCACAGAAGUCGGCUCUCCUUAAAUGCAUUAGUGGAACCUUUUGUUGACCUGUUCCUGGUGUGAUAAUUAUCUACACCGCGGGCGGUUAGCAGCUCAUUUUUAAAUGGGGGCUUCGCUUCUAACUUGUCCUUACCCGGACACUUUGACCAUUUGACCUCAAAUCAGGUAGGACUACCCGCUGAACUUAA
Molecule: unclassified non-coding RNA, 309 nt
Filed under: uncultured Agaricales
Lineage: Eukaryota; Fungi; Basidiomycota; Agaricomycetes; Agaricales
Description: sequence contains 5.8S rRNA gene, ITS2, 28S rRNA gene
Rfam family: 5.8S ribosomal RNA (bases 1-52)
Source: RNAcentral